This 460-nucleotide ribosomal RNA is filed under the name uncultured bacterium. Its description in RNAcentral is "partial 16S ribosomal RNA". It matches the Rfam family "Bacterial small subunit ribosomal RNA", at positions 338 to 795 of the family's 1533-position model. The record is from RNAcentral.
CCUACGGGCGGCAGCAGUGAGGAAUAUUGGUCAAUGGACGAGAGUCUGAACCAGCCAAGUAGCGUGAAGGAUGACUGCCCUAUGGGUUGUAAACUUCUUUUAUAUGGGAAUAAAACGUUCCACGUGUGGGAUUUUGUAUGUACCAUAUGAAUAAGGAUCGGCUAACUCCGUGCCAGCAGCCGCGGUAAUACGGAGGAUCCGAGCGUUAUCCGGAUUUAUUGGGUUUAAAGGGCGCGUAGGUGGAUUGUUAAGUCAGUUGUGAAAGUUUGCGGCUCAACCGUAAAAUUGCAGUUGAAACUGGCAGUCUUGAGUACAGUAGAGGUGGGCGGAAUUCGUGGUGUAGCGGUGAAAUGCUUAGAUAUCACGAAGAACUCCGAUUGCGAAGGCAGUUCACUGGACUGCAACUGACACUGAGGCUCGAAAGUGUGGGUAUCAAACAGGAUUAGAUACCCGAGUAGUC